UGGGGAAUUUUGGACAAUGGACGCAAGUCUGAUCCAGCCAUGCCGCGUGCGGGAAGAAGGCCUUCGGGUUGUAAACCGCCUUUGUCAGGGAAGAAACGAGUUUCUCUAAUACAGAGACUUAAUGACGGUACCUGAAGAAUAAGCACCGGCUAACUACGUGCCAGCAGCCGCGGUAAUACGUAGGGUGCAAGCGUUGAUCGGAAUUACUGGGCGUAAAGCGUGCGCAGGCGGUUAUGCAAGUCAGAGGUGAAAUCCCCGGGCUCCACCUGGGAACUGCCUUUGUGACUGCAUAGAUAGGGUACGGUAGAGGGGGAGGGAAUUCCGCGUGUAGCAGGGAAAUGCGUAGAUAUGAGGAGGAACACCGAUGGCGAAGGGAAUCCCCUGGAACUGUACUGACGAUCAUGCACGAAAGCGGGGGGAACAAAC
RNAcentral lists this ribosomal RNA (426 nucleotides) under uncultured bacterium. Its description in RNAcentral is "bacterial SSU rRNA". It matches the Rfam family "Bacterial small subunit ribosomal RNA", at positions 355 to 773 of the family's 1533-position model. The record is from RNAcentral.